This 381-nucleotide ribosomal RNA is filed under the name Klebsiella aerogenes. Its description in RNAcentral is "bacterial SSU rRNA". It matches the Rfam family "Bacterial small subunit ribosomal RNA", at positions 70 to 452 of the family's 1533-position model. Lineage: Bacteria; Pseudomonadati; Pseudomonadota; Gammaproteobacteria; Enterobacterales; Enterobacteriaceae. The record is from RNAcentral.
CACAGAGAGCUUGCUCUCGGGUGACGAGCGGCGGACGGGUGAGUAAUGUCUGGGAAACUGCCUGAUGGAGGGGGAUAACUACUGGAAACGGUAGCUAAUACCGCAUAACGUCGCAAGACCAAAGUGGGGGACCUUCGGGCCUCAUGCCAUCAGAUGUGCCCAGAUGGGAUUAGCUAGUAGGUGGGGUAAUGGCUCACCUAGGCGACGAUCCCUAGCUGGUCUGAGAGGAUGACCAGCCACACUGGAACUGAGACACGGUCCAGACUCCUACGGGAGGCAGCAGUGGGGAAUAUUGCACAAUGGGCGCAAGCCUGAUGCAGCCAUGCCGCGUGUAUGAAGAAGGCCUUCGGGUUGUAAAGUACUUUCAGCGAGGAGGAAGGC